UCAAGGAAAGCAUCAUAUACAUAAUUAAGAAUGGCUCUACAUAAGGCUGCCCAGCUACGCCUGAUGGAAAAAGAGAAGAACAAAAGUCCAUCCUAUGCUAUGCGCAUUUCUUUGCAAAUUAACUAAGUGGUUUGGAGCAUGAUUGUUGAUGGUAAAUCUUUUGCCGAGGCUGAGAUCAAUGACAUGAUUUAUGACUUUGACCGGGAUUACAAGGAUGUUGGUGUUGCUCAGUUUACAACAAAAAAUUUUGUUGUCAGAAACUGCCUGCCAAAUGCCAAGUCAGAUAUGCUAUCAGCAUGGAAUCCUCCUACUGAAUGGGAAAAGAAAGUUUUGCUUCGCGUGGAUGCAAAGCAAGGAGCUCCCAAGGAUGGAAAUUCUUCUCUUGAACGUUUUCAGGUAGAGAUCUAUCCUCUCAAGAUUCAUUUAACCGAGGCAAUGUACAGAAUGAUGUGGGGAUAUUUAUUCCCAGAAGAAGAACAAGAUUCACAAUGACGGCAGGAAGUUUGGAAGGUUUCAACAACUGCUGGUGCAAAACGUGUGAAGAAAGGCUCAUUAGUCCCAGAGAUUUCUGCAUUAAGCGGUCAAACAAAUAAAGAGUCUGAGGCCUCAUCCAAAGCAAGUCCCUCUGCCCCUGCUACCAGUCAAUCCUCCGUUCAUGCAGAUCCUGUGCAAGAAUCAAAAUUGCAAAACCUAAAGACAACAGUUGGUGGUAGUCCAACCAGAGAGUUAAGAAGAACGUUUUUCUUUGACAGAUCAUGGGAAGACACUGGCAGAAUCAGUUGCUACAGAACUUGUCUUACAGAGCAUUACUGGGCCACUUGGUUCUAUUGAACUAGAUGAGUCCUCGAAGAAUAAAUUGAAAGACCCCAAAGCUGUCAAAUCUGGUAGGUCAUCCCAUGAAGAAAAGAAGGUAACAAAAUCACAAGAAGAGAAAAGAUUUAGGCCACGAAAGAUGCAGUUUCACAAUAUUAAGAUAAGCCAGGUUGAGCUAUGUGUUACUUACGAAGGAUCUAGAUUUGUUGUAAAUGAUCUUAAGUUGCUGAUGGAUACAUUUCACCGUGUUGAGUUCACCGGCACUUGGCGGAGACUCUUUUCGCGGGUUAAGAAGCAUAUCAUUUGGGGAGUCUUGAAGUCUGAUGGGAAUGCAGGGUAAGAAGUUCAAGGAUAAGGCUAAUAGUCAGAGGGAACCCAGUGGAUCGGGUGUUCCCGAUAGUGACCUUAAUUUCAGUGACAAUGAAGGUCAGCCAGAAGAACCUGACCAGAAUCCUAUACCGUUUCUCAACUGUCCAAGUGACGGAGCAGGUGAUGGAUUUGUCACCUCCAUCAGAGGCCUUUUCAAUACUCAACGUCGCAAGGCCAAGGCAUUCGUACUGCGAACCAUGAGGGGUGAAGCAGAGAAUGAUUUCCAAGGAGAUUGGAGUGAAAGUGAUGCAGAGUUCUCUCCAUUUGCUAGGCAGCUCACAAUAACGAAAGCUAAGAGACUUAUCCGGCGGCACACUAAAAAAUUCCGUUCAAGAAAAGGUUCAUCCUCACAACAGAGAGAUUCACUCGCAUCCUCGCCAAGGGAGACCACUGCAUUCGAUAGCCAUUCUUUGAGUGAAUCCUCGCCCUACGAAGAUUUUAAUGAGGGAAACAUUUUGUCCUCCAGAGAGGUUCCUUGAAGGCAGCUUUAAGAAACCCCAGUCGAGAAGGGGAGUAAAAUGAGACUAUUAUUUGUUCUAGUCGGGUGGCCACUACAGAAAGAAGGAUUUCAGGUGCCAUGUUCAUCAUCCAAGGACGCACGAGGAAGAUUGAUGCAUCCCUUGGUAUCGCUUCGAGACCGUGCAUUUGUGCAGCAGAAGACAGACUAACUUCGAGCAAUGCGAGUUGAAGCCAUCUCUCACGCCUUGAUGGUCUUCGGCCUCGGGAUGUAAUUCUAUUUGCCACAAGAGGCUGGUUGUAUAGUUUUGUAAGUUGAGCUGAAGAAAACAGAGGGUCCUAAAUUUGAAGAGCUCUCGGUUAAUUUCCCUAAAUCUGUACAUAGAUUCAAAUAUAAAUUUUGAAAUAAAUGAAUGUAGCAUCUCUCCCUCCUAAACCA
This is a non-coding RNA of Malus domestica (apple), 2077 nucleotides long. The record is from RefSeq and is a predicted model, not a curated record. NCBI's taxonomy places the organism in Eukaryota, Viridiplantae, Streptophyta, Magnoliopsida, Rosales, Rosaceae.